UAUCAAGCUUACUGCAGUUCG
This 21-nucleotide non-coding RNA is filed under the name Arabidopsis thaliana (thale cress). The record is from RNAcentral. Lineage: Eukaryota; Viridiplantae; Streptophyta; Magnoliopsida; Brassicales; Brassicaceae.